This is a long non-coding RNA of Pan troglodytes (chimpanzee), 7445 nucleotides long. RefSeq lists it as uncharacterized. The transcript is spliced from 16 exons. Lineage: Eukaryota; Metazoa; Chordata; Mammalia; Primates; Hominidae. The record is from RefSeq and is a predicted model, not a curated record.
UGGAAAGGGGAUGGAGUGGGAAGAUGAUCUUCCUCUGGAGUUUGGCUGUUCCACAGCUGACCUCCUCUCUGACUGUCUCCAGCUGAACUCCUCUCGACAUUCAGACUCUUCUCUUCUCUCCUUCUCUGCUGAGCUGCUUCUCUGCCUCUCUGCUCUUCUGUACAUCUGUUCAUCUGCUCGUCUGCUCAUGGACCCUGGAGUUUGGGGUUUAUAUGGGUACAGGAUAGGGAAGUGUGGUGGGCCAAAGGGCAACAUUCAGUCAUGAAAACAGGAAUGCUUGUUCCCAUUUAGGGCUGUGGGUUUCCAGGCUUAGGGGCAGGGCCUUUGCUGGGGAACUGCCCUCUUUUACCCAGUAUUUCCCUGUUUCCUGUCUGUAUCAAUAUGGUGGGUCUCCAGGAUGAAAAGGCCUUAAGAGCAAAAACUGAGAUUUCCUGGAGGUGAAGAAAUUCUGCCUCAAAACUACAACAUUGACUCUUGCCUGAUUUCUAGCGCACCAGAGUGUCCUUUAGAUUUCAGACUUACCAGCCCCCAUAAUCACAUGAGCCAAUUCCUUAAAGUCUCUCUCUCUGUAUUAUGUAUGUAUGUAUGUAUGUAUGUAUGUAUGUAUGUAUCUAUCUAUCUAUCUAUCUAUCUAUCUAUCUAUCUAUCUAUCUAUCUAUCAUCUCCUACUGGUUCAAUGUUCUGGAGAACCCUGAAUGGUACAUGUGAGAUGGGAAACUCUUCUAGGGUUUUGAACAGAGAAGAAAUAUGAUGUUGCUUAGGUUAAGAAUAAGCUGUGGAGGUUCAAGGCUGGAAGUAAGUGACUAGUUAAGAGUGCUGUAAAAACUCAGGGGAGGAAUGAUGGUAGCUUUGCACUAGGGUAGUAGCAAUGGAGGUCGUAAAAAAUUGCAGAUUCUGAAUAUAUUUGAAAUUAAGUCAACAGGGUUUGAUGACAGAUUGAUGGGGAGUAUAAAAACAAGAAGUAACAAUAUUAAGAUUUUUAGCUGCAAGUAGAAAAAUGAGGUUGCCACGGACUGAACUGGGGGUUUUAAAAGAUCAAUUUUCAUGAAGGGAGAAGGCCAAGAUUCAGUUUGUACAUGGCAAAUUUGAAAUACCCAUUAAACAUCCAACUGUAGAUGGGGAGUAAGCAGCUGGACAAAACAUUCCAAAGUUUUCUGAGAGAUCUAGACAUAAGGUACAAUAUGGAGAUCCUCUGAAUAUAGAUAAUAUUGUAGCUUUGAGAGUAGCUGAGAUAUUUUAAUAAGUGUAUAGAUAGAAAAAGAAAUACUAUCCCGGGACUUGAACCUGAGUACUCCAACAUUAGAAAUAUAUAAGAUGGGAGAAAACAGCAAGAGACUGAGAUAAGGCAGCUAAUGUGAUGAGAGGAGAACCAAGGAAGAGGGAGACCUAGAAGAUAGGUGAAGAAGGCAUUUGAGAAAAUAUCAACUAUGACAAAGUCUGUUUAUAGGUUAAGAUGAGAACUGGAAAUUGAUUGUUGAUGCCCUUCACCAGAGCUGUUUCAGUGUAGUAGAAACAAAAGCUUGAUUGGUGAGGAAGAGAAGAGAGAAAGUAGACAGAGAUAUGCUAUAUUCUAGUAAACAGCAAUAUCCUAUAUGCUUUUAGGAAGUUGUUUCUCUUGAAAGGAAGAUAAAACAUCACAUUUCUAUAUUGAUGUGGAUAAUUUAGUGGGGAGUGAAAUUUAUGGCAGAAGAAAGGAGAGCAUUGCUGAAGCUACAUCCUUAAGGAAAUGAGAGGGGAAGGGAACCAGAACAUUGGUGGGAGAUUUGGCUUAUAGAGGAGAUAAGGCAGUUCAUCUAUGGCAAUGGGAGGGAAGGCAGUUCCUUUAAUGACAAUGGGAAUGGAAGCGUACGUAUAAGGGUUCAAAUGUAGGCAGGUUGAAGAAAUGGAAAUGGGAGCAUGUAAAAAACUUCUGAUGGCCUUGUUCUUCUAAAUGAAAGAAAAUAAGACCAUAAGCUGAGAGUGAGCACACAUAAGGAGGUGCUAAAAUUUGAGCCAACAGACUGAUGUAGUCAUCCAAGUGUGGAGAGUAAAAAUACAAAGAAAAUGUGGCAGAUAGAAGGAGGACUGUAGUCUUCUCGCAGAGCUGUUGGCUUCUGUCUCUACUAUUGAAGAUGAAUGUGGAAAAUUGGUACAUUUUCCUUCAAGUGGAUAUAUUUUAUUUUGCUGAUUUGUAAGGAAACAGCAAAUUGAAGCCAGAAUUAGAAUGAGUUCUGGCAAAUGCGAUUAAAGGUAAAAUUUCCUCAGAUUUGUUAUACCUCUAAAAAUUAUGUUAAUUUCUAAAAUGCCACUAAAACUUUAUGGUCAUGUAUUUAAGCCCAAUAUGAUAGAACGAAACCUCAAUAUAGCAAUUAGGAUCUCUUCCAAACCCCAAGCCAGAAGUUGGUUUGGGAGAUGUUGGUGGCAGGAAACCAAUAUCACUAAAGACAUCAGAAGACAUUAAGUCUCAUUCAGGCUCAUGAUUGUGAAAAUGUCAUUUAUUAUAAUUAAGUCUAACACUAUAUUUCUGGGAACAAUUUGUAGUGGGAAUUUUUACAUUCACAUGCAUAAAACAAUAUAGGAGGUUUGGGGAAAAUGUAUCCUUAGUUAUCAUAUUUUCCAGUGAUAUGAUGUCAAUACUCUCAAAUAUGAGAGUCAUCAAAGAACAAGUUUUGGCAGCAAUCUUUGAAGAUAAUGCUUCCUUUAGUACAUUGCCAAACUUCUCCUUUAAAAAUGAAAGAACAACUUAUAAUUAUUUGUGACACUUGUGAAAUGAUAAUGGAAGCUUUGAAUAGUUUUGCUCAGAAUUCACACCUCUUCAAUUCCACAUAGAGUUGUUAAAAUAAAUGAGAAAUACAGCCUCAAGAACAAAGAUACAUGAAUUCAGACAGAGCAAUCUAAGAAAAUAGGGUUUUCUUUUUAAAUUUUCAUUUGAAUGACACUAAGAAAACCAAACUCUUUUAAAAGUAAUCAUUGGUGUUUACUAAAACACAUUUUUCACUGUGCUGAACAUACGCCCUUGAGGUAAAAAUAUUUUUCUUUGCCAAAACCUUGAGAAAGUUAUAAUUGACUAAUAAUUCUCUGCUUUGGAAGAAACACAACCAUCAAUAUCAAAGCUUGUAUAAUCAUUACAACUUUUGCUGUAAAAUAGUGAGAUUCUUAACUAAAUUUUAGAGGCAUGAUAUUAUCAUUUUGGAGUCUUUUCUUCAUUGUAUUCUUUCUGGAAGAAAACAUUAUAGUUCGUCUUUGAUGAAUAGAGCUUACAUUAUGUUCCUAAGAGAUAGUGAUGUUUUUUACAGUGGCGGCUGUUGAUGUGUGCUGCUUAGAUUUUUCUUCCAGGAAGAACUUGCAUAUUCACCUGAAAGAAGUGCAGUUAGCUGACAGCUUCCAGCUGUUAGCACCUUCAGGAUUCACCUCAGCUUUCAAGCCAAGACAAUGAUCUUUCUGGGCAGCCCCCAGCCAAUUACUGGAUGGGGAUACUCUAGCCUGGCCAUUUCUGCCCAACAUGGGACUCCUCUCAUGGGUACUCAUUGUUCUGGAGCUCCAGACUCAUUGCUCUGGGUUGUAGAUCUGUAUUACAGGCUGAAAGCUUUCAAUGGUCAGUUCAGCUUCUUCUGCUUUUUAUCUUUCACGGAUGUUACCUCUAUCCUCCCUGCCCCCCAUGAACUCCUUGCACUCCAAUCAAAACUCUAUCUCAAUGUUUUCUUCCCAUGGACUCAAUUGACAGUAAUCCCCCUCAAAUGUGUUGGGCCAAGUACUGUGUUAUUAAUACAUGCCGGGAAUACAAACGUCACUUAACACAUAUUUUCUAUCCUAAAAAGCUCACAAACUAAUUGGGAAGCAAGCACCCACUAUAAGCAUAAAGUACAAAGGAGUCAACAUAAUUAUGAAGCUAUGGAGUUGAACUGGUCUUCGAUUGCUUUGUGACAAAUCACCAGAAACUGAGCACCUUAAAACAGCACGGACGCGCAUGAAAUUUGGUGCCGUGACUUGGAUCAGGGGACCUCCCUUAGGAGAUCAAUCCCCUGUCCUCCUGCUCUUUGCUCCAUGAGAAAGAUCCACCUAUGACCUAAGGUCCUCAGACCAACCAGCCCAAGAAACAUCUCACCAAUUUCAAAUCCGAAAUCCUUCAUCUAAUCUGGCAAACACAUGUGGCAGGUUUUUCUCACCGCAUAAAAUAUGUUAUAGAGUAGUCCAUCUAUUUCUCUUCCAUGGAAGAGUUCAUCUGGUAGAUUGGACUACCACUUUUCCUUGGCAACAACGUUAAGAGGUGGAGCCUUUAGGAGAUGAUUAGCCUCAGAAGAGGAGCGCUGCAGUGAGACCCUCAGUCUUCUUAGUGUCAGGUCCCGAGUUCUCAUCCCGCAUCCAGGAAGACUGAGGUUAUGUGGACACCUGGAGGGUGAGCGAGGCUGAGAAAAGCUUUAUUGGGCAACCAGACAGCUCUCAGAAGAGAGGUGACCUGAAGCAGAGUAAAAGACAAGCUUCUGUGGAAAGGGCAACAAACACUAUCACCCUCAGACCAGAGGUGAACAUCCUUUGCAGCAAGGUGAAAGAGACACAAAACACCCUCUGCCCUUGAAGGAGAGACAGGAGACGCCUCUGUUGGCUUCUCUGCUGCUUAACAGAAGUCAUGAGAUGCCUGGGUAUAAACUGUUGCCUAAGGAUACAGGGUGUGUGGCUGGUGGCCUCAACAGGCCCCACGGCUCAGGCACUCAGACCCAAGCUGGUCCCUCAGACUAAAUGGUUUUCCUGGGAACUCUGACUCUGGCCACAAGAUGAAGACUGACAAAUUUCCUUUCUCUGUUUAUGGAGGGAGACUUCACAACAUUCACUGAAAGAGGAGCAAAGGACCUGGUUUUUGCCAUGACUGGCUUUGGCCCCGUGAAUGAAUGUUUUUCUGGCAUUGGAAAGCGGAUUGCAAAGAGAGCAGAACCACAAAUGGGCUAUGAGGAAAUGUGUUCAAUGAAGAAAACAAAAUCUCUGACAAGAUCCCACAUAAGACAACAUCUCAGCAUCUUCUGUGAUUUGUGAACCCAAGUAAAGCACUUCUUAGAGUUAUCUGGCACAUUCGCAACUAAUAGCUUUCCAUGAAUAAAUACUGUGGCAACCACGUUAACUGUACAAAAACAAAUUGCUUAUUUCUCAUAUCCAUGCUGGAAGAUUAUCUGGCUGGCCUUAUCAGCUGUGAUGUCAGGAAUGUCAGCCAGUUAUCCUGUGGUGCAUUCAGCUGGGUCAUUGUACCCCAUCAGUGAGGCAAUUGCAAAGUUCCAUCUGGACAGAGAGGAAAAAAAGUAUCAACAGCAACUUAAGCCCACUGGAUGGAUUUAAGGUUCUCCUACAUUCCCAACACGUCUGUCAUAAAGAUGCCAAUGAAAGGUUAUAACCCAGAUGGAAACAAGACUCCAAAUGCCAGUAAACCAAAGACAACUCGAGAUCAGAGACAGGGUUUUAUCAUGCUGCUGCACACUGGUCUUGAACUCCUGGGCUCUAGUGAUCCACCUGCCUCAGCUUCCCAAAGUAAUGGGAAUACAGGUAUACAUGUGCCAUGGUGGUUUGCUGCACCUAUCAACCUGUCAUCUAAGUUGUCACAUGCCAAUUUCAAGAUUUAAGAUAGGAGUUCACCAGGAGCUUAGAGAUAGAGUCUCACUAUGUUUCCCAGGCUGAUCUCAAACUCCUGGCCUCCAGUGAUCUUACUGCUGCGGCCUCCCAAAGUGCUGGGAGUACAGUGUCUUGAAAUGACUUAAUUGACUGGCUAGAGAACUGCUAUCUGAAUUUAUCUGAAUUGGGCUAGUCAAAUAAAGCAGUGGGAGUGGAAAAGGAACAAGGAAAUCUGUAACCGGUUAUGAUCAAUUAGUUGUAAACACCACUGCACGAGGACCAGCCCAAAGCUGCUACUUAACCAAGUGACUUUCUGAUUGCUCAACUGUGUUUCCACUGAGAAAAAUGCAUUGAAAUGAAACAUCUCAUUUCCUGUACUGUCCUGAGGCAAAAAGAGACAAUGAUACGUAUCUCCAAUUUAGACUGGAUGAAACUAGCCACAUUUCAAAUAAAGAAGUCACAUUGUAAGUGUAAAACGACGUUAACCUUAAAGGAGACAUUUCCGCCCUGUAUAACUAUGCACAGCUUCAACUAAUGGUAUAUGAACUGUGUCUACAAACCAAAGGACAUUUUUCUAAAGAAACUUUAAAUAUAGCAAAUUAACUCAAACCUUACCUUAGAGCUUCCUCCUCUAUUGUCUUUUCCUGUAGUGGUAGUCUCUGUGGCACUUACAGGUGGUAAACAAAUAAAAAAGUGUCUUAUUGAAUUAACUUGAUUGCCAUAUUGAUCAGUUUUAUGUGUUUUUAUUCUUAAGCAUAACAAUAAAAGAAAAUGAUCAAGCAACGUUUUGCUUAAAAAAAAAAGAUUUCAUGGCAGAGAAGCAAUUGAGUCCAGUUAAGAGACAGUUAAGAACAUUUUUCAGUUUGGAGCUUUUGUUUUGUAAUGAGAACUUUGCCAGUUCGUCACAAAUGAACUUGAGCACAUUUUCUCGAGCGUGACGGCUGAACAGAUGAGCCACACACACUUUAUAGUUAGUUUUACUGCACUGAGUCUUUACCUACUAUUCCUAGUAGUUACACAUAUCAAAUUAUUAAUAACUGAUCAACAUUUUAAAAGAAGGUUUCAAAAGAAAUGUAAUUAGAUUUUAUAGUUGAGUUUUAGCUAAUGUGUGAUUCCACGGAAGUUCAGGUGCUGAGAUUACAUUUCAAUUUAUACUUGCCAUCUGCUAAAAUAUCCCCCCUCUCUACAGCAUCCUGACCAGAUCUCCAAAUUUUGAAAUCUGUUUUCAUUAUUCAAGACUCAUUGUACAUUUCAAAUACCAGGUUGAUUUCUUAGUCUCCAUGUUCUCCAUGUCUGCUUAUGACUUUACAGAAAAAAUGUUAUUUACUAUGCAUAUUAAUAUUGAGAUUCUUUACUAUGCUGUAUCUUUUUUUUUUUUUUUUUUUUGAGAUGGAGUCUCACUAUGUUGCCCAAGCUGGAGUGCAGUGGCACCAUCUCGGCUCACUGCAAGCUUCACCUCCGGGGUUCAUGCCAUUCUCCUACCUCAGCCUCCUGAGUAGCUGGGAUUCUAAUCCCCGCCACCACGCCCAGCCAAUUUUUUGUAUUUUUAGUAGAGACAGGGUUUCACUUUGUUAGCCAGGAUGGGAGCUCGUAAUCCGCCCACCUCUGCCUCCCAAAGCUGGGAUUACAGGCGUGAGCCACUGUGCCUGGCCUACUAUGCUGUAUUCUUAUAGUUAACAGCAUGCUCUUUGAUAAUAUCUCAUUGGAAAUAUUUAUGCUCUGAAACAUUAUUUUUUGAAUUGUUAAAUAUAAAUCAUUUAUACAGCAAUACUUUAUGGGAGAAGCAUAUGCUGAAUUUUAAUGGUGUUUACUUUGCAAUCCAAAAUUGUGAAUACAUACAUGUAAAACUAUGAAAUUGCUAAUUAAAUAUU